AGGCUGGAAUGAAUGGUUGGACGAGAAAUUAGCUGUCUCUUUUCUUAAUUUGAAUUUAAUUUUUUGGUGAAAAAGCUAAAAUUUGCUUGGAGGACGAUAAGACCCUAUAGAUCUUUAUAAGAAAAGAGGUUUGUUAUCUGGAUGUUAUUUGAUGAAACUCUUUUUUAUUUUGUUGGGGCGACAUUGAGUGAAGAUUAAACUCUCAAAUUGAUUAAACAAUUAUAAUUGAUUAUUUGAUCCUUUAGUGAAUUAAGAUUAAGUUACCUUAGGGAUAACAGCGUAAUUCUUCUUGAGAGUCCAAAUCGACAGAAGAGCUUGCGACCUCGAUGUUGGUUCAGGAUUCCUACUAGGUGCAGCAGUCUAGAAAGGUAGUCUGUUCGACUAUUAAAAUCCUACAUGAUCUGAGUUC
Molecule: ribosomal RNA, 409 nt
Filed under: Thamnocephalus platyurus
Lineage: Eukaryota; Metazoa; Arthropoda; Branchiopoda; Anostraca; Thamnocephalidae
Description: partial large subunit ribosomal RNA
Rfam family: Bacterial large subunit ribosomal RNA
Source: RNAcentral